GGAAAAACCAGGCCAUACAGAGAUAGGAGCUGAGGGGACAUAGUGAAGAGUGACCAGAAGACAAGAGUGCGAGCCUUCUGUUACGCCCAGACAGGGAGACCAGAGGGCUCCUUGGUGUAGUGGUAAUGCCAGCGUCUGGGAAGACACUCGUUGCCAAGCAGACCGUGGUCUAGCGGUAGUGUAAGCGUCAAGGAAAAACAUCCGCUACUUAGCAGACUGGGAAAGGGAGUCUCCCUUUCCCCGGGGGAGUUUAGAGAAGACUCUACUCCUCCACCUCUUGUGGAGGGCCUGACAUUAGUCAGACUCGCCUGCAGUUAUCUGGAGGCCUAACUGCCUCCCUGUGAGGCUGUGCUUCAGUGGUCAUGCUCCUAGUCCGCCUUCAUGUUCCAUCCUGUACACCAGGCUCUGCCUUUUAGAUAGCAGUAGCAAAUUAGUGAAAGUAUUAAAAGUCUCUAAUAAGCAGAAAUAAUGGCAUAAGCUGUCUCUCUCUCUCUCUCUGUCUCCUCUCUCUCUCUGCCUCGGCUGUCAGGCAGGGAAGGGCCCCCUGUCCAGUGGACAUGUGACUCACAUGGCCUUACCUAUCAUUGGAGGUGGCUCACUCUCCUUAUCCUGCCCCUUUGCCUUGUAUCCAAUAAAUAUUAGUGCAGCCUGGCAUUCAGGGCCAUACUGGUCUCUGUGACUUGGUGGUAGUGGUCCCCCGGGCCCAGCUGCCUUUUCUUUUAUCGCUUUGUCUUGUGUCUUUAUUUCUACACUCUCUCAUCUCCGCACACGGGGAGAGACCCACCGACCCUGUGGGGCUGGUCCCUACACUAGUCACCCUGUUGUGGAAUAGAACAGGAGAAUUUAUUCCUCUCAGGUAAGUGUAACUUUGUAUCCAUUUGCAAUCCCUGUCUAGUGCCCCCUGCCCCCAAGCCUCUGGUAUCCACCAUUAAACUUUGUACUUCUACAAGAUAAAGUUGUUUAGAUUGCACAUGUGUGAGAUCAUGCCACGUUUGUGUUUCUCUGCCUGGCUCAUUUCAUUUAACAUCACACCUUCCAGGUCUCUCCAUGUGGCUGCAGAUAACGUGAUUUUGCUAAUUUCUAUGGCUGAAGAAGAUUCCAUUGUGUACUGCAGUUUCUUAUCCUUUCAUCUGUGUGUGGACAAGUGUAACCGUGUGGCUCCCAUGAUGGGAUUUCAUUGUGUUCUUCUGGCUGAAGAGUAUUCCAGUGUCUGCAUGUGGGACAGCUUCUCUAUCCCUUCAUCUGCAGAUGGACAGGUUUCUGCACGUUGAUGCAGAUGACAUGAUUUCAUGAAUUUCUAUGGCUGAAGAGAAUUCCAUUGUGUACUGUGGUUUCUGUGUUGCUUCAUCUGUGGAUGAACAGGCUUCCUAAAAUCAAACUUCAGUUUCAAAAUCAUUUUUCCUGACACCUGGAUAUUGAAUGCUACAGCAGGCCCUUGGAACAUCCAGAAGAGAGGUAAACAGGAUCACCUGACAUGUUU
RNAcentral lists this long non-coding RNA (1480 nucleotides) under Pan troglodytes (chimpanzee). RNAcentral describes it as "long non-coding RNA NONPTRT004067". Lineage: Eukaryota; Metazoa; Chordata; Mammalia; Primates; Hominidae. The record is from RNAcentral.